ACCCCGGAAGCUAUUGAAGCGUUAGGCUUUUAACCUGAAGAUAGUGAAGUUUUCACCCGGAGU
RNAcentral lists this transfer RNA (63 nucleotides) under Neoteredo reynei. RNAcentral's name for it is "tRNA-Lys". Lineage: Eukaryota; Metazoa; Mollusca; Bivalvia; Myida; Teredinidae. The record is from RNAcentral.